CAGUCGCCGCGGUAAAACGUAGGGUGCAAGCGUUGUCCGGAAUUAUUGGGCGUAAAGAGCUCGUAGGCGGUUUGUCGCGUCUGCUGUGAAAACGCGAGGCUCAACCUCGCGCCUGCAGUGGGCACGGGCAGACUAGAGUGUGGUAGGGGAGAUUGGAAUUCCUGGUGUAGCGGUGGAAUGCGCAGAUAUUAGGAGGAACACCGAUGGCGAAGGCAGAUCUCUGGGCCAUUACUGACGCUGAGGAGCGAAAGCGUGGGGAGCGAACAGGAUUAGAUACCCGAGUAGUCCCUGUCUCUUAUAC
RNAcentral lists this ribosomal RNA (301 nucleotides) under uncultured bacterium. Its description in RNAcentral is "partial 16S ribosomal RNA". It matches the Rfam family "Bacterial small subunit ribosomal RNA", at positions 509 to 807 of the family's 1533-position model. The record is from RNAcentral.